CUAUAUAUUUGUGUUUCCUUGUGAGAUUUUCCCUUUCCUAUAGAGUCUUACUUCUUUUCCAUUUAGAGAACACUUCUUUUAGGGAAGGGUUGGUAUUGAUGAAUUCUUCUAGUUUUUGCUUCUCUGAGAAGUUCUUUCUCUCUCCUUUUAUCCUAAAUGAUAAUCUUGCUGCGUAGAGUAUCCUAGAUUGCAGGUUUUCCCAUUUCAGCACUUCACAUGUAUCUUGCCACUCCUUUGUGGCCUGCAGAGUUUCUGCAGAACAAUCAGCUGAUAGCCUUUUAGGGGUUUUCUUGCAUAUGACUCUGCUUUUCUCUUGCUGCCAUUAGAACUCCAUUUAACUUUUGCCGUUUUAAUUAUGACAAGUGUUGGUGUGGGUCUGUUUGGGUUCAUCUUGUUUGGAACCCUCUGUGCUUCCUGUACCUGGAUAUCUGUUUCCUUCAGGUUUGGGAAGUUUUCAGCCAUCAUUUCUUCACAUACACAUGCUUAACUUUCUCUGCUUCUAUAAAUUUUGGUGAAACAGCUACUAUUUUGGUCUUGAAUGGGUGUUCUUAUGUGGGAGGGUCCCUACACGGACUGCAUGGACCCAUUUUGGUGGGAGGGCUGGAUCUGAUGAUGAUGCCAGUCCCAUCUUUCCUCAGGCCGUGCUGGCCACUAUCACCUUGAUGGGGGUGUGGCAUGUGCUUUAGGAGCCAGGGCCUGUGCAGGGUAUGAGGCGAGACUGCCUCUCUGCUCAGUGCUGAUCCCCAGCUUGCGCUGGUUCUGUUCCCUCUGAGUGUGUGUUUUCCCUCUCCCUGUACCAGGACCUCUGCCCCAGAGGAGGGAGUGAUGAAGCACGUGGGGCCUCUGUGCUUACAGAGUCAAUGCCCUUCCUAUGUAGGCAUCUGCAGCUGUGCUCAGACGCAGCCCCAGUUGGUUCUUUCCCCAGUCUUGGCCAUUCCAGGCCCAGCGCUCUGAUGUGGUGUGGAGUGAGCAUGGCUGUACAGCUCGCCGGGUCUGGGCUGGGGUGCAUGGUCAGUCAGUCAUGGGAAUCCAGCUGCUGCUCGGGCAGAUCUCUCUACCCUGCCUGAGGGUCAGCCAGCACCGUGCACUCAUGAAUGGAGUCUAACUUCUCCAAAUAGCCAAGGGGGCUUGUCUCCUGCAUGUAGGACCCCAGGAACGGGGGGCCCAGGGUGAGAGUCCACCCCUGAGAUCUCCCUUUUCCUUUUGAGUCCCCCACAGGGGUACAGGUCUCAACCCAAUGCUUUUCCUCUUGCCCUACUUGAUUACAUGUGGGUCUUCCCUGCAGCCUUGGCUGUCCAGGUUUCCUCAGCCAGCCUUUACUUAGUCUUCUGUGAGAACUUUUCCACACGCAGGUGUAUUCUUGAUGUGCCUGUGGGGGAGGUGAGCUCCAUGUGCUCUCACUUUGCCAUCCUGAUCUCCCUGUCUUAUUCCAAUUCCUCCUGGAGGAAGCUGGUUUCUGGGAUUCUCUUCCCCACAAAAGGAGAACACAUGAAGUAUAAAGAAACAUGGUGGAUUGAGGAAUCUGUUCCAUUGGGCUCCCAGCCCUCGGCACACACAACCACGUGGCUGGCAGGCUGUACCUGUGCUAACAGAAGCCUGUUUCUUGGUGGGAAACUUGGGACAGAAGGGAUCUGUGCUCUCAGCCAGCCCGCAGCCAAGGCUCCUUUGCCCAGUGAGGCAGACGGCUACCCCGGGCCUCCACUGGGGGAGCACGGGAUGAGCACUGGACACCGCUUCCUUUACCCUGCACCUUUGGCCGGGCUGCAGGGCUGUGGGCAGGAGCCAGUGGGGUGACAGCACGAGGUGGCUGUUUGUGCCUGCAGGUAGUGGCAGCUGCACUGUGAACCACUGAUGCCUCAGCCUCACCACCUGAGGUGCGGUUAGGGUGAUGGGCACGUGGCAGGUGCUAAGCGUCCUGCGGGAGGAGGAGUGCAGUCAGCCUGGAAGUAAGAGGCAAUCAGGGGCUGGAGUGCGUCCUCACUGGGGGCCGUCCCCGGCCUGUGGGGCAGGGUGCUGGGCCAGCUGGUGAGAGCGCUGCCCUGGACUAACAUUGGUCACCCUCUCACUCCAAGAGAGGCAUGAAUUCUCUGUAAAACGACCACUCACGAGCAGAGAAGAGGAAACUCUGCGUGCUCUCGGGUGAUUGUGACACAGGGUCAUUCCGCUGUGAGUCACCGUCCAGCAAUUUCCCGCUGCACUCACUGCCCGUGCCGGACGAGAGCACUUACUUCUUCCCGGUCUCGGCCCAGCGGGCCUGCUGGGCACAAGGAGCCGGGUCUUCCAGCGGCCUCUCCAUGGGACGGCCCGUAGCUUCACAAGAGCUCUCAGAAAUGGAGGAGUGGGUCUGUUACCGCCUCAGGGCAGAGUGGACACAACUGGACUCAACUGUCCUUCUGUUUUGGUCUCACGUUAAUUUCUGAAAGAUUAUCCUUCAGUGAACCGCAUGACACCUCACGAGGAAGAGGUGGGGAGACUGAUUACCUGUGGUCCUUGGUAAAUCACUCUGGCGUAGAAACUGCAACGGGUACAGAGGCCAUCAGUCUGGAAAGGCAUUGAGAACGGUGAGUAAGGCCCCCCCAUCCCCAGCACAGCCACAGAAAAUAACUGAGACCUUGGCAGAAACAAAAACACCACCUGGAGAAUUUCUCUUAAGAAGCGGGGAACCGGAGGCUGGUAAAACUUAGAAACGGGGUCUUCGUCAAUUACAUCAAUUUGUCCCAGAUUUGGAUGAGCAGAGAGGAUGUAACAGAAGCUAGGAGGAGGCAGAUGAGUUGUUUCCUGUUUAAAAUGAAGACAAAAGCAGAACGUGAAUGUACUGUUAAAAGACUCAAAUCACUGUUAAUAUAAACCUACUCUAAUACACAUAUUGGUUCACAGAAGCAUACUACCUCUCUGGAAGGCUAUGUAAGAAACGGGUUAUGUUGUUUAUCUCUGGGACCAAGCUAAGAACUUCCGUGCUUUUUAACUUACGACCAAUUCAAGAUUUCGUUUUAGAAAUUUACUUUUCAGAGUAUAUUGAGAACACCAUUUAGAAACUCCACCCCUGUAAGUGCUCUAGAAAUGGCAUUUCUGACCACAGUGCAGCUGGUCCAGCACAGGAUGGAGCCAUGGUCUUACCUGUGCCAGGUCAGGUACCACACAAGCAAGGUGGCACAUGUUCUGCCUGAGGAGCUACAGCCCAGAACAGCUCUGGCCAGACUGCUGGGUAGGCUCAGCAUGGAGACAGGGGACUCAUUUUAAUCAGUCAAUUUUGCUACCUGUGAGCAACUCCUGGGAACAAUCUGACAAGGAAGCAAAGGGAAAUCCCAGGAUAAGCAGGAGGUUAUUCAUGGAGUUUCUGCUCCAACUGGUGACUGAGUGCGGGUUCUGCUAGUGACUGAAAGUGUCUUGUUCGGUGCGAUGCUGAGACCUUGGUUGUGCCCUGGCGUGUGGUGGUGGCUGGACCUGCAAGCGGGCCAGUGGGCCUGGACCUCUGUCCUGGCUUAUACGCACUGGUCCCGGCUUCUUGGGAUGUGGACUGUGGGGUGGCACCUGGCUCAGCACCUGAUACCAAGCAGGUGUGACUGGGGAGCUGUCAGCGAUGGGCUUACCUCUUCACAGGCCGAGCUGCGGCCAGGUGCUCUCAGAGGCACAACUGGAGGCCACAUGGUGUCAAUCAAACUGAAAAGGCCAGCCAUCCUGGGAAAGAAGAGAGGCCUGGUCAGUGUGCUGGUCACAUGCACACCUGCUUCACAGACACCAGGCUGAAUGCCCAAGGAGCCACCACUCAGGACGAGCGAUGAAGACAGUGGUACACAGACAGGAAGACAGGCCUUAGAACCUGCCUGCAAAAGAACAGGAAGGAGACUGUUCAUUAAAUUGUGAGGCAUCUGCAGAAUGAAAUGUGAUGUAACCAUUGAAAUGGUUAUAUGGAAAAUAUUUAAGGGCAUGGAAAGAUAUCCCUGAUACCUUGCUAAAUGAAAAGCAGACAGCAAAGUAUAAUGUCUCUCUCUGAAAGACAUAAAAAUGUCUUUAGUGGUUAUCUGAGUAGAGCUUAAAGGUGAUAUGCAUUUUCUUCCUUUGGUUUAUAUAUUUCCUGUAUUUUUCCAAAACAGAUAUGUGUUACUCAUACAAUCAGAGAAAUGAUCAAUAACUUAUCUAAAAUAAAUAACAUAGCCAGACACAAAAGGACAAAUAGUGUAUGAUUCCACUUAUUAGCUCUCCCAAGAGCAGAAAAAUUCAGAGACAGAAAGUAGGAUGGUGGGUGCCAGGGACUGGGGGAAGUAGGGGUCAGUGUUUAACGGGGACAGAGCUUCUCUUUGGGAAGAUGAGAAAGUUCUGGAGAUGGAUGGUGAUGAUGGCUGCACAACAAAGUGAAAGUACUUAAUGCCACUUAAAAAGGGUUAAGAUGUUAAAUGUCCAUUGACAGAUGACUGCAUAAAGAAGCUGUGGUAUAUUUAUGCAACGGAAUACUACUCAGUCAUAAAAAAGAAUGAAAUAAUGCCAUUUGCAACAUGGAUGGACCUGGAGAUCAUUACUCUAAGUGAAGUUAAGUCCAAAAGAGAAAGAAAAAUACCAUAUGAUAUCACUCAGAUGUGGAAUCUAAAAAAAUGACACAAGUAUUUACAAAACAGAGUCAGACUCACAGACAUAGAAAACAAACUUAUGGUUACCAGGGGGAAGAGGGGGGAAAGGGAUAAAUUGUGAGUUUGGGGUUUGCAGAUACUAACUACUAUAUAUAAAAUAGAUAAACAACAAGGUCAUACUGUAUAGCAUAGGGAAUUAUAUUCAAUACCUUGUAAUAACCUACAAAAAAAGAAUAUAUAUGUAUCUAUACAUAUGUAUAACUGAAUCACUAUGGUGUACACCAGAAACUUAACACAACAUUGUAAGUCGACUAUACCUCAAUUUAAAAAAUGCUUUGGAUGGAAAAUUUUACACUAUGUAAUUUUACCACAACUGAAAAUAGUUUUAGUUGCCCCACAAAACGAAUAUAUAUCAGAAAGGCUUCUUAGAUUUUGCCUUGAGUUUCAACAAUGUUAAGGUGUAAUAAUGUUGUUUACUUUUUAGAAAGCCUGUGGCCUUAAUAAUUAAUGUUACAUAUCCCUAUUGCACUGCGGGCAGUCCUGAAACCUCUUGGCCCCGUCCUUUGCUCCCUGCAGGACUCUGAUACUCCCGCUUCCCAGCUCGCAGUGCCAAGGGUGAUGGGAGCAGGCGCAGGCUCUCAGGGAGGGCGCACAGCAGCAGAAGUAGACAGAACAGCUGACCACGUGGGACGCACGCCUUCUACGGGCUGACAUACAAGCCUGGCCGACUCCACGCUCCCCAUCACGCUGCACAGGGCUGUGGGCAUUUGUUCCUCCUGGACUGAGCAUGAGCCUGGGACUGGCAGCUGGGGAUGACAGUGGCACGCGGAACUGAGAGCCCCAUGAGGCAUGUCACCUCUCAAUCUCCAGCCGAGAGAGGCAGCUCCCUAACCUUCACCCCCGAUGCUCCCGGUCACUAUGAGGAGAGGAUGGGGGUCCGUCCUGGAACACACGGCGGGCCACCUGUGAGAAGAGAGGCCAGAAGAGCAGAGUGAUAGGACGGAGUGGCAGUGAGAGGAGAAACACCCACAAGUAGAGGAAGAACAGGGCUGCGGCUGGCGCAGAUUUCGGGGUCCAGGGCGCUCACCAAGCCUGGGGACGACAGGUGUCACGUGGAGGAGGAGGGCAAGCUCCCGGCACACAGAGACCCCCUCUGAUGGCCCUGCUCAGGUGGCCUGUUCCCCUAGUUAUUUUAGGGUUUUUCCCACCUGAUACUGCCUCAUCUGGCUCCUCCCAACCUUCAGCAGGAAAUCUAAGACCCGAGCCACUCCCUUCUGGGUGUGGGUGGAGUGGAAUUUGCUGCAGGAGGUUCAAACCACAAUGGUGAGGUCACCCACAAGACAGGACACAACCUGUUCACGGAGUUAAUUCGUCCUCAGAGAUCUCAGAAUUUUUUUUUAACCAAGCAUAUAUUUUGGGUGUAAAAUGUUCCUAAAAUUCUCCAUGUGGUUGCUAAUGUCUCCGCACCUACUACGUAGUAGUCACAGCUUUGCAAAGCGUAUUAUCUAGAGGUGGAAUAUUUCAGACCAGGGGUUUGUGAAAUGCAGUCUCAGGAACUCUGAGCCUCCAAGACCUUUUGGGGGCCUGCAAGGCCAGCACUGUUUCCUGACACUCCGGUUCUCCUCUCACGAGUGCACAGUGGAAUUUUUUGGAGGUUACAUGGUGCACAGUACACAACAGAUAGGAUGCGGAGCAGAGAUGAUAAUCCUGUCUUCUAUUGGUCCAGACAUUAAACAAGGCAGAAACAAGGCAAUGCUACUCUUCUCACUACAGUUGCCUUGUUUUAGAAAAUAUUCUUCAUAAAAGUGCUAUUUAUAUUAUUAUUCAAUGGGUUUCUUAUUGGGACUUUUAGGUGAGCUAGUAAAUACUUAAUUUUUUUCCAUUUCAAUUUCUAAUAAAGUAGUUAAUGAUCAAUAUAACCACAUUUAAAAAUCUCCGAGUUCUUAGUAAUUGUGAAGAGUUUGGAACUGUUCUUUAAACCUCAGUGCUGCUCAUGAUCUAUCCACCACCUACCCUUCCCCCACUCUGUGCCCUCCUCUAUCUUCCAGAGGCAGCAUGUCUCACACACACACACACACACACACACAGACAACCUUGAGUGAACUGAACAAACGUUUGCCUUGAUAACGGAAAUGAGUUUCUUUCAGAGGUUGGACUGACAUGACCAGAUGGCCAAGGAGAUCACGAACAAAUCGGCAGGAGCCAUGGCAGCCUUGAGAUGCUAAGGAGGGAGAUAAUCAGUGACUAAAACACAGUAUUAUGCUGCCGGAAAGUAAAGUGGAAACAGCCCAGAUGUCCAUCAACUGAUGAAUGGGUCCUUCUGUACAAUGGAGCGCCAGGCAGCCACAGAAAGGAAUGGUGUCCUGACCUGAGAUACAACAUGGGGGGAACCUGGAAAACACGAUGCUGAUGGAAUAAGCCAAGAGGCUCCCUCCAAGAGCAGCGGACAGCCUGUUGGUCCUGCUGAGACUGUCUACGCUGGCAUGAGAAGGGCACCAACAAAACCCGUUCACCGAGAGCCGGCCCCGCCCUAGCCAAGAAACCCAGCUGCACACCUGUGCAGACGGCUGAUGGCAGCGGCAUCACAGGUGUGUCACGACCUGGGCAGGAGGUGACACUAGCACCUGGCAGGGAAACUGCCAUCUCUGGGCUCUGCCUCUUCGUGCCUCCCCUCCCCCAAGACGGAAAGACAGGAUAGGAGCAACGCUGGCAGACUCUGCUGUCGAGCACUCGGCAUGGACUGCCCACGACCAGGUCACACCCUGAUGGCCCUCUUGGGGAAGCCCACCGGCGCCAGCAGAGCCGAAUCAGACAUUCAGCCAUCCCUGUGAGGAGGUCGCCUCUCACCCUGGAUGGUGACUCCUCUCUGUGGCGCCCACGCUCAGCAGAUGACUGAGGAGGGAGAGAAACAUGCCAAGGACCACAGUCAAAGCAGAACUUCUUUGUCUAACUGCCGACGGGGGGCAUCUGUGAUGAUUCCUGGACAAUGACCCUAACCCUCACGACCUGUGCUGGACGAUUCCUGAAGACUCCCUCUGUGGCACCACUGAGCAUGUGGGUCAGGAGGGUCUCCCAGGAGACGGAGGCCCUGGUGCCCAGAGUCACCGUGGAGCCUGACCCCUGGCCAGUCACCCUCCCUGUUCAAGGCCCUCCUCCUCAAGGCUCUUUUCCUGACUCUUCUCACUUCAGCCUAUCAAGUAUGGACACUUGACUCCAAAAAUGUGUCAGAGAAAUGCAGAAGAUGUGACAGCUGUUUUUCUGCAACAGUUCCCGAGAGGGCAGGUGGACAGAGCAGGGCGCCCCGCACAGGGGUCCAGCAGCAUGUCUGUCUGUCUGCUCAGCUCCAAGGCCAUCAGUCCACCCGAAGCUAUCGUGGGAAGCAGUGAUUUUCCGUCAUUCUGACGGUGGACCAGAUGAAACCUGGUAGCUUGGAUUUCAAAGACUCCACGACUUAGCCCAAACAUAAAACUUCCUUCCAACUGGCAAAGAAACUACGAUGGUUACUGGAAUGAACAGCCACCGCUGGGGCCAGACCCACGUACCGUUCCCAAAACAACACGAAACCUGACAGAACAAGCUUUCUUGAGAUGGAAAGCAAAAAGAUAUGACAAAUGAAGAGUUUUGCUUAAAGCUUAUAAAAUGCCCUUUCAGUAAAUUAUAUUCUCAUUUAUAUAAAGUGACUCAUGCCAAGCUGCCUUAUUAUUAUAGACAACAAAAUAUACAGAAAAAUUUUAGAAUUAAAACACAUGUACUUAACAUUUUUAGUCUUAAUUUUAAUAAAAUUGUGAAUCAUUA
Long non-coding RNA from Camelus dromedarius (Arabian camel), 8360 nucleotides. RefSeq lists it as uncharacterized. The transcript has 8 exons. The record is from RefSeq and is a predicted model, not a curated record. NCBI's taxonomy places the organism in Eukaryota, Metazoa, Chordata, Mammalia, Artiodactyla, Camelidae.